GCCUACGGGGGGCAGCAGUAGGGAAUCUUCCACAAUGGGCGAGAGCCUGAUGGAGCAACGCCGCGUGGGUGAAGAAGGUCUUCGGAUCGUAAAACCCUGUUGUUAGAGAAGAAAGUGCGUGAGAGUAACUGUUCACGUUUCGACGGUAUCUAACCAGAAAGCCACGGCGAACUACGUGCCAGCAGCCGCGGUAAUACGUAGGUGGCAAGCGUUAUCCGGAUUUAUUGGGCGUAAAGGGAACGCAGGCGGUCUUUUAAGUCUGAUGUGAAAGCCUUCGGCUUAACCGGAGUAGUGCAUUGGAAACU
RNAcentral lists this ribosomal RNA (305 nucleotides) under uncultured bacterium. RNAcentral describes it as "bacterial SSU rRNA". It matches the Rfam family "Bacterial small subunit ribosomal RNA", at positions 337 to 634 of the family's 1533-position model. The record is from RNAcentral.